RNAcentral lists this ribosomal RNA (270 nucleotides) under uncultured archaeon. RNAcentral describes it as "partial 16S ribosomal RNA". It matches the Rfam family "Archaeal small subunit ribosomal RNA", at positions 477 to 747 of the family's 1478-position model. The record is from RNAcentral.
CAGCACCUCAAGUGGUCAGGAUGAUUAUUGGGCCUAAAGCAUCCGUAGCCGGCGCUGUAAGUUUUCGGUUAAAUCUGUACGCUCAACGUACAGGCUGCCGGGAAUACUGCAGCGCUAGGGAGUGGGAGAAGUAGACGGUACUCGGUAGGAAGGGGUAAAAUCCUUUGAUCUAUUGAUGACCACCUGUGGCGAAGGCGGUCUACCAGAACACGUCCGACGGUGAGGGAUGAAAGCUGGGGGAGCAAACCGGAUUAGAGACCCGAGUAGUCC